Molecule: long non-coding RNA, 1507 nt
Filed under: Numida meleagris (helmeted guineafowl)
Lineage: Eukaryota; Metazoa; Chordata; Aves; Galliformes; Numididae
Description: lncRNA (ENSNMEG00000001527.1)
Source: RNAcentral
CAAUGGAGACAUUGGGGUCAAUGGGGACAUUGGGGUCAAUGGGGACAUUAUGGGGACAUUGGGGUCAAUGGAGACAUUGAGGUCAAUGGGGACAUUGGGGGACAAUUGGGGACACUGGAGGGUAAUGGGGACAUUGGGGGGAACUGGUGGGGACUGGGGGGGACGGUGCAAUAAAGCUCGGCCAACAUGCCCUGCUCUGAGAGUGGAUGGAUUGGGGGGGGGGCAAUGGGGACAUUGGGGUCAGUGGGGAUGUUAUGGGGCCAUUGGGGGCCAUUGGUGUCAAUGGGGACAUUGGGGUCAGUGAGUGACGUUAUGGGGGCAUUGGAGUCAAUGGGGACAUUGGGGUCAGUGAGUGACGUUAUGGGGACAUUGGGGUCAAUGGGGACAUUGGGGUCAGUGAGUGACGUUAUGGGGACAUUGGGGUCAAUGGGGACAUUGGGGUCAAUGGGGACAUUGGGGUCAGUGGGGACAUUAUGGGGGGAAUGGGGGACAAUGGGGACAUUGAGGGACAUUGGGGUCAAUGUGGACAUUAUGGGGACAUUGGUGACAGUGGGGACAAUGGUGACAUUGAGGUCCAUGGGGACAUUAUGGGGACAUUGGGGUCAGGGGGGGCUACGGGGACAUUGGUGACAUUGGGGUCAAUGGGGACGUUAUGGGGGCAAUGGGGCACGAUGGGACAAUGGGGACAUAACGGGGACAUCGGGGUCAAUGGGGACAUUGGGGACAUGGAGUGACAUGGAGGCAUUGGGGACAUUAUGGGGACAAUGGGGGUAAUGGGGACACUGGGGACAUUGGGCUGAAUGGGGACACUGGGGACAUUGGGGAUUUCGGGGCAAUUUGGGGAUUUUUGAGAGAUUUGGAGGAUUUGGGGGGACAUUGGGGGGGCGUGGCCUCUUUUAGCCCCGCCCCUCCUCGCGUCACCGCCGCACUGCGCCGGGGGCCGAGCGCCUCCGGAAAGAACCGAACUGCUCCGGCAACCGGAAGCCGGCACCCGAACGGCGCUCGGAACCGGAAGUCGGCACCCGAACGGCAUUCGGGCACCCGAAGGGUUCCGAAGAGCUCCGAGCGGCCAUGGCGUGACACCCCCCCCACCCCACCCCCCCCGUUUCUCUUCACUGCGGAUUCCCAGCUCCUCCGGACCCCCCCGGUUCCGCUCCGCCCCCACCCAGGGGUCCAUGGACCGGGCACGGGGCGGCGGGGGGCGGCCGAGCGGCGGCGGCGGCGCGGGGAGGAGCGGAAGGAACCGGAGCGGCUGAGGAAACCCGAACCCGUCCGAAAGGACCCGAACGGGAACCGAAGAGAUCCGAAGCGACCCGAAGCGGGCUGCGGGGACCCGAACGUUUCCGAAAGGACCCGAAGAAUCCCGAAGCUCUCUGCGGGGAGCCGAAGGCGUCCGGAAGGACCCGAAGCCGACCCGAAGAAUCCCGAAGCCGUCCGAGGGGUCGUCCCGAAGAGGCCCGAACCGGGCCCGGCCCGCCAUGGCCCUCAGCGGCCCCGCGCUGCUCCU